GGAGAGGUGGCCGAGCGGUUGAAGGCCCUGCUCUCGAAAAGCAGUAUCCCGGCUAAACCGGGAUCGUUGGUUUGAAUCCCACCCUCUCCGCCA
RNAcentral lists this transfer RNA (93 nucleotides) under Desulfobacterales bacterium RIFOXYA12_FULL_46_15. RNAcentral describes it as "tRNA-Ser". It matches the Rfam family "tRNA". From Rfam's summary of the family: Transfer RNA (tRNA) molecules are approximately 80 nucleotides in length. The record is from RNAcentral. Lineage: Bacteria; Pseudomonadati; Thermodesulfobacteriota; Desulfobacteria; Desulfobacterales.